Sebastes umbrosus (honeycomb rockfish) is the source of this 350-nucleotide long non-coding RNA. RefSeq lists it as uncharacterized. The record is from RefSeq and is a predicted model, not a curated record. Lineage: Eukaryota; Metazoa; Chordata; Actinopteri; Perciformes; Sebastidae. The transcript is spliced from 2 exons.
GUCAUACAACUUGCAUCGCCCUGAUCUGGAUUAUUUUCUACAUUAAUCGAUCAAGUCCAAGGUGAUGCCUUUAAAUGUCUUGUUUUGUCAAUCUAAAACCCAAAGAUAUUCAGUUUUAGAUGAUAUACAGAUGCUGAAAACAGAAUUUUCUGCAAUUUUUGCAUGAAAAAUAACUUCAAUGAAUAUGGCUGUGCUUUUUUUCAUUGUUUUCUACAGGCACACGCUGACCUCGUCAAAGUCUCCUCGGACUAUGUGGACGUCCCCAGCGAGGGUCUUCAGGUAGUCAUAGCUCUCCUUGGUGCAGAGGUUGCCCGUGCAGAGGAUGUGCUGGAUCUUCCCCGGAACCAACA